UAAAGGAAGGGAAAAGAGAAAGGAAGGAUGUUGUUUAUUUAUAGCAUCUCUUUAUAUCAUUGUGCCUCUGCAUGCAGAGUCUUUGUUCUGCUACAUCUUAAGCAUUUGUUCUUGAAGAGACUCAUGUAUGGAAUGCUGUUGGAAAAACAGGAGACUCAAAGCACUGAAGGCAACGAGGAGGUUUUUAAGAACAAUAAAAGGAGAUGCAAACAAGCAAAUGGCAAACUGAAAUAGACAUCUCAAAAGUUAUAAUUGAUGGAGAUAUUUUUCCAUGAAACAUCUCCCUAAAUCGCUCCACUGAUGGAGUCAUGGUGGAAUAUUAAGAGCUUGCCAACAAAAUGACUCAACUGAAAGCAUAUAAAGAGAUUUAGAAGUGGAUAUUUAAAGGCAGUUUAAAUGCGUAAAAGGGGACCUUUGAUGAGCACAUAUUGUUUUCAGCUGCUAUGGAGGAGCUGCCUGGCUGACAGGUCACUUC
Long non-coding RNA from Pseudopipra pipra, 475 nucleotides. RefSeq lists it as uncharacterized. NCBI's taxonomy places the organism in Eukaryota, Metazoa, Chordata, Aves, Passeriformes, Pipridae. The transcript is spliced from 3 exons. The record is from RefSeq and is a predicted model, not a curated record.